Hemicordylus capensis (graceful crag lizard) is the source of this 3947-nucleotide long non-coding RNA. RefSeq lists it as uncharacterized. The record is from RefSeq and is a predicted model, not a curated record. The transcript has 5 exons. NCBI's taxonomy places the organism in Eukaryota, Metazoa, Chordata, Lepidosauria, Squamata, Cordylidae.
UUCCCCUGCUGCAUCUCGCUCUUUUUUCGGGUGGGGGAGGCAAAAAUAAAUCUACCUUUGCCACCCUGGGAGCCGAAGAGCUGGGCGUGGGGGGGGGGGGACAUCCUAUAUGGAUACAGAUCGAAUUUCCAGAGAUCUUAUUUUUGGUUUGCAAAGCCGCCUUACUCUUUCUCGCAUCUCUCCUCCUGGUGCCAAAGUGGUACCCAAGUCAUUAAGGAUGCAGAUAAAAGGAUGGGGGCGUGAAUGACGCGGCGCACACAGCGCUGUUAACCACUUGGUGACCGGACCACCAGACCCUGAAGGAAGAGCUGGAGAUAUUUUUCUUUCUUUCCCUCGUUGGUUUGAUUGUAAAAGGUGCCUCGUUUCGUAGCAGGGAGUCUAUCUGCGUCUUAGAGAGAGAUUUUUUCCCCUUUCUUUUUCAAAAUACGAUUGAAACCCACACGGCAUCUGGAAGCUUCUCCCACCCACCCCUGCUCCCGCCGUUGCCCAAAAGUUUUUGAACUUGAAUUUUCUCAGGGAUUAAUCCCCGCUCCGCUUCCCCAGCGCUCUGCACUGUUUUUGACCUCACGUGUUUGCCCCAAGUGCUGUGCGUAAACUCUUUCCUUGCGGUUUUUUUUUUUUUUAAAGGAUUCCUCGUCGGUGUGUGUGUGUGUGUUGUUUGGUUGUUUGUUCUGCCUCAGGACCGUGGGAGGGGGAGGUCAAACAAUAUCCCCCCCUCCACUGGAGCUGCCCGGCCGCCCGCCCCCUUCCCACUUUUUAGUUCAUGCAGCUUUGGGGGACCUUUCACGCUCUGGACAAUGCGCCUUUUGGAAACGAGACUGUUUGGUUUUCAAGACACGUUGAGAGCUGGGGGGGGGGAUGUGUGUGUAGAAGCAGGAACGGCGAGUGAGCAAAAAACAAAACAAAACCCAAACCCAUCGCAGCUCCCUCACCACCCCCCUUCAUCCCCCCCUACCCCCCUCUGACUUGGAUCUGUGAGAAAAUGUGUCUGGACUUGGAAGACAGAGAGAAAUUGAACCUUUUUCUACCCUGCCUGCCUCCUCUCUCUCUGAUCCCCCCUCCACUAUAAAAAAUUGCAUCGCCCUCCCUCUCCCCCGCAACUUUUGCCACUCAGCCAAGCAAAAGUAACAGCGUUUAUUAUUUUCGAAUGGGGGAGAGUUUUUUGGGUUUUUUUAAAGGGAUUUGGAUAGCAGAAGCGCCCAUCCCAUUUUCUGCCAAGACCGAAGGUAGGGACACUGCGAACUUCUGGUUUCUUCCAGCUGCUUCCGAAAAAGUUUUCAUUUUUCCCUCCUCCCAGGAGACGGGGGACCCUAAGACAUUCCCCCCCUCCUUUUCUCCUAAACUUCAGCUGCCUUGAGAAGGUCGAUCUGGCUUUACUCGUGGAGGAAACUACUUGACAAGCAAACCGAACUGGAAACAAACAAAAAGGGCAGGAACUUAGCGAAUUCCAGGAGAAGGAAGGAGACCCGAAUUAGUAAUUCCAUUCUGGAUGGAGGUAUCCGAGCCAUUGUAGAUGAACUGGGAUCAGAUAUUGGAACAGAGAACCGGACGUAUCUGAUGGAUUUUCCUCUCCGAGCAACAUCGGAAGAAAUUUGGGUGGCUGUUGGAAUGAAAGACCCAGAUGAAUACCAGAGGCUAGGAAACCAACUUAAUGGCUACCCUGAAGUUUCUGUGUGCCUCCUGGAGCCAACAAAACCCAACCUUCUAUACCUUGCUUCUCCGAACAGGAAAAAUGGCACCAGCAUCAUUAAAUGAUUUGCUCUGAGUCGGGUCGAAGAAAUUGCUUCUGUCGUAUCGCUCGAGGCAGGGAUGCAUUGAGUGAUCAAAGAUGACUCUUUAUCGCUAAGAUUAUUUCCAGUCUCACCACAGUUCCUGAAGAUGAAUAAAGUCAUCUUUGAGAGAGAGAGGACGGUCUCACCCUUCGUGCGUGUUGCUCAGAGACUCUGGAGCUGUGGCUCCCCACGGACUGACCGCUUGGUUGAGCUGCUCAAAGGGAAACUUAACUGAAGGGGUGAACCCAGCCCAGCUCCUGCUCUUCGGAGACGGGGGGAUCCUGCAAAGUUUACAGGAGCAGAAGAGAAUCCAGACUGCAGAGUCCUCCCUGAGAUCUGACCAGAAGACAUCCCCUCCCUGGACUUGUGUUUCGAACAGAAUCAAUGUUGACAUGGCGAGAGACAUCGGAUAUUAACAGCAGCCGCUGUGGAUCAUUCGCCCAUGAUCCAAGCCCAACAUCCCAACUUGCAUGACAUCCAUGCCAAAUGCUGGGCCGGUCCUUAGCGUGGUCCCCAACUUUUAAAGUACCCCUGCCUUAUCCUUACUUUAAAAAUUUUCAUUAUAUAUAUCCUGUUCUCUAAGGUGCGCUACGAAUCACGAUGUGCAGAGUUCUUUCCCUUAUAUAUCCUCACAACCAAGCUGUGGCGUAAGUGAGGCUGACAGGUGAUGAUUGGCCGUAGAUCACUCGCUGAGUUUCAUGGCUGAGUAGGGAUUUGAACCCAGGACUCACCCCUCUAACCAUUGCACCAUACACUGGUUCUCCGCCAAAUCUGUACAUGUGGCUAUCCUUCAUCUUACACAAACCCCUGCAAAAAGAGAAAAAAGCAUGCAUUUUGAAAAUAAUUGCACAACCCAGGGAUUUGGGGUGCUGUGUAUCGGUGAUGACACAGGUGCUAGCCAAUAGAUAUCCAGAUUUUCCUUAGUGUAACAUUUAAACAGAGGGUUAAGACAGUGUUCUGUUGGCUGGAAGGAUUUGAACAGUAAGAUCAAGUAGGGUCCUGAGUGGAAUCAUUACUGAGAUGGACCCCAUCUUACAUAAGAACAGCCCUGCUGGAUCAGGCCCAAGAAGACCCAUCUAGUCUAGCAUCCUGUUCCCUACAGUGGCCCACCAGAUGCCUCUGAGAAGCCCACAGGCAGGAGUUGAGGGCAGGCCCUCUCUCCUGCUGUUGCUCCCCUGCAACUGGUAUUGAGAGGCAUCUUGCCUCUGAGGCUGGAGGUGGCCUUUAGUCACUGGACUAGUAGCCAUUGAUAGACCACUCCUCCAUGAAUUUGUCUAAGCCCUUCUUAAAGCCAUCCCAUAGAUUAAUUAUGCAUUAUGUGAAAAAGUACUUCCUUUUGUCGGUCCUAAAUUUCUUGGCAAUUAGUUUUGUGGGGUGACCCCUGGUUGUAGUGUUAUGAGAGAGGGAGAGAAAUUUCUCUCUAUCAACUUUCUGCACACCAUGCAUGAUUUUAUACACCUCUAUCAUUUCGCGCGCACACACACCCCAGUCCUCAUUUUUCUAAACUAAAAAGCCCCAGGUGCUGUAGUCUUGCCUCAUAAGAAAGGUGCUCCAGGCCCCUGGUCAUCUUGGUUGCCCUCUUCUGCACCUUUUCCAGUUCUACAAUGUCUUUUUUCAGAUGGGACCAGAAUUGUACGUAGUACUCCAGGUAUGGCCACACCAUAGGGCAUUAUAAUAUUAGCCAUUUUAUUUUCAAUCCCCUUGCUAAUGAUCCCUAGCAUGGAAUUGGCCUUUUUCACAGCUGCCGCACAUUGAGUCGACACUUCCAACGAGCUGUCCACCAUGACCCCAAGAUCCCUCUCCUGGUCCGUCACCGACAACUCGGAUCCCAUCAGCAUAUACUUCAAGUUGGGGGUUUUCAUCCCAAUGUGCAUCCCUUUACACUUGCCAACACUGAAGCGCUUUUGCCAUUUUGUCGCCCACUCCCCCAGUUUGGAGAGAUCCUUUUGGAGCUGCUCACAAUCUGUUGUGGAUUUCAAUAACGCUAAUAAGGCACACCACUAUCCUGGAGACCUUCGGUUUUAUAAUGCUAUUUUAAUAAUCCGCUAUCAUUAUGCUUUAUAUACACUUUGUGGAAAUUCGUACUCCGUUUUCUCCCCCUUAAAAAAAGGGGGGGAUUUAAUGUUUUAAUUAGAAUAAUUUUAUAAAUGAAAUUAAAAUGAAACAUGCUUGAAA